UCAUUAUUUGACCGUAUUUCAAAGAUAAACAAAAUCCAGUUACAACUCCGAACCGCUAGAUGGCAGCAGUACACAAACACGGGGCCAAAUCUCACGAGAAAGAUUUCCGCUUUUUGAAAAGCAACAACAUCAGCGAGCAGCCACGAGGAAAGUAUGUACCACACUUGUUUGGUCUUAGUUCACUAAAAUUCAUUAAUUUCAAAGUUCAACAUGAAUGGUGGUGGUCCACUGCAGAAGCAAGCAUUUGAAAAAACAUCAGUUCUCAGUUAUUAAAGAUGCUGUGUUGAACAACUUCCCAGCAGCAACAGAACUGGAAGUGAAGGAUGCAAUGGGGGCAUUUCAAACAGGCACCAGGGAGCACGGGGGGGGGGGGGGGUAUAGAAAUUAGU
Paramisgurnus dabryanus is the source of this 389-nucleotide non-coding RNA. Lineage: Eukaryota; Metazoa; Chordata; Actinopteri; Cypriniformes; Cobitidae. The record is from RefSeq and is a predicted model, not a curated record.